Molecule: ribosomal RNA, 206 nt
Filed under: uncultured fungus
Lineage: Eukaryota; Fungi
Description: partial small subunit ribosomal RNA
Rfam family: Eukaryotic small subunit ribosomal RNA (bases 97-206)
Source: RNAcentral
GGGGCGUCCCGGCGCGCCCGCUUCGGCGAGGCGCGCUGAACGCACCAUCCUCGCGGGGAACCGGCGGCAUUCACUUGUCGCCGCGGAUCCGCGUCCUUUACUGUGAAAAAAUUAGAGUGUUUAAAGCAGGCUCGCCGCUUGAAUACAUUAGCAUGGAAUAAUGAGAUAGGACUUCGGUGCUAUUUCGUUGGUUGCGUACCGAGGUA